RNAcentral lists this ribosomal RNA (253 nucleotides) under uncultured bacterium. RNAcentral's name for it is "partial 16S ribosomal RNA". It matches the Rfam family "Bacterial small subunit ribosomal RNA", at positions 524 to 776 of the family's 1533-position model. The record is from RNAcentral.
UACAGAGGUCCCGAGCGUUGUUCGGAUUCAUUGGGCGUAAAGGGUGCGUAGGCGGCGGGGCAAGUCUGAUGUGAAAUCCCGGGGCUCAACCCCGGAACUGCAUUGGAUACUGCCUUGCUGGAGUACUGGAGAGGGAACUGGAAUUUACGGUGUAGCAGUGAAAUGCGUAGAGAUCGUAAGGAAGGCCAGUGGCGAAGGCGGCAUCCUGGACCAACACUGACACUGAGGAGCGAAAGCCAGGGGAGCAAACGGG